Molecule: unclassified non-coding RNA, 301 nt
Filed under: Naetrocymbe sp.
Lineage: Eukaryota; Fungi; Ascomycota; Dothideomycetes; Pleosporales; Naetrocymbaceae
Also listed under: 2 other names
Description: partial contains 5.8S ribosomal RNA, internal transcribed spacer 2, and large subunit ribosomal RNA
Rfam family: 5.8S ribosomal RNA (bases 1-52)
Source: RNAcentral
AACGCACCUUGCGCUCUCUGGUAUUCCGGAGAGCAUGCCUGUUUGAGUGUCAUGAACUCUUCAACCCACCGGUUCCUUGUUGAACCGAGUUGGUGUUUGGAUUUUGAGCUUUGCUAUUCAUUUAGCUAGCUCGUAAUAUAUUAGCAUCUUUCAAUUUCAUAAUCGGAUUGACUCAGCGUAAUAGACUAUUCGCUGAGGACACUUUUACUAGUGGCCGGUAAUGGAGAUAGAGAAGCUUCCAACUCUUCUAGUCAACUUUAGAUUAGACCUCAAAUCAGGCAGGAUUACCCGCUGAACUUAA